GAUGAACGCUGGCGGCGUGCCUAACACAUGCAAGUCGAGCGGCAGCGAGGGGUGCUUGCACCCUGUCGGCGAGCGGCGGACGGCUGAGUAACGCGUGGGAACGUGCCCCAAAGUGAGGAAUAACUGCCCGAAAGGGUAGCUAAUACCGCAUAUUAUCUUCGGAUCAAAGGAUUUAUCCGCUUUGGGAGCGGCUCGCGUCGGAUUAGGUAGUUGGUGAGGUAAUGGCUCACCAAGCCGACGAUCCGUAGCUGGUCCGAGAGGAUGACCAGCCAGACUGGAACUGAGACACGGUCCAGACUCCUACGGGAGGCAGCAGUGAGGAAUCUUCCACAAUGGGCGAAAGCCUGAUGGAGCAACGCCGCGUGCAGGACGAAGGCCUUCGGGUUGUAAACUGCUUUUAUAAGUGAGGAAUAUGACGGUAACUUAUGAAUAAGGAUCGGCUAACUACGUG
This 451-nucleotide ribosomal RNA is filed under the name uncultured bacterium. RNAcentral describes it as "partial 16S ribosomal RNA". It matches the Rfam family "Bacterial small subunit ribosomal RNA", at positions 28 to 507 of the family's 1533-position model. The record is from RNAcentral.